AUACGGAGGAUGCGAGCGUUAUCCGGAUUUAUUGGGUUUAAAGGGAGCGUAGGCGGGAGCUUAAGUCAGCGGUUAAAUGGUGCGGCUCAACCGUGCCCUGCCGUUGAAACUGGGUUUCUUGAGAGUGCAAGAGGCGAUGGAAUUCAUGGUGUAGCGGUGAAAUGCUUAGAUAUCAUGAAGAACUCCGAUUGCGAAGGCAGUCCGCUGGGGCACGUCUGACGCUGAUGCUCGAAGGUGCGGGAAUCAAACAGGAUUAGAUACCCUGGUAGUCCGCACGGUAAACGAUGAUUACCCGCUGUCGGCGGUAGACAGUCGGCGGCCAAGCGAAAGCGAUAAGUAAUCCACCUGGGGAGUACGCCGGCAACGGUGAAACUCAAAUGAAUUGACGGGG
Molecule: ribosomal RNA, 391 nt
Filed under: uncultured bacterium
Lineage: Bacteria
Description: partial 16S ribosomal RNA
Rfam family: Bacterial small subunit ribosomal RNA
Source: RNAcentral